AGUGGCCAUGAGUCUUUGGAACUCUUUCCCACAAAAGACAGUGAAUCAAGGUGCUUGUGAAGCUGACAGGAAAUCCUCCGUGAUCAUCUUGAAGAAGGGAGCAGGAAGGAGGGACCUAUUGUCUACUCCUCUCUUACAUGAGCUGAUACAACAAGAGCUCACAAACUGAAAAGUUAAUCUGUCCAGGAGAAAUUUGAAGAUGCUAAUCUAUCAUAUGAAUCUGAAAAAUCAUGAAGUGGUCAAGAGAUACUGAGGCCUCAUCUGAAGACUAAAGACCUGACCAUUCAGAAAAGUUUGAAAUGUGUGUUGUGAUUGUAAAAAAUUGGAUAUAAAGAUUGUGAUUUAAUUGAUAUUGAGAUUCUACCAGGCCAAUUGCCACCUUUCAUUAAUGCUCACACUGACCAGACAGUGGGACUCAUUAUAUCGCCAGAGUUUUGGAUCAUGUGUAUUUGCAAAUGAAUAUGUUGGUUUGAAGUUGAGAAUGCAGACAAGUUGAUGUGUUGGUGUUGAUUCAUUUAUUUAUUUGCUAUUCACACACCAAGUUAGAAGUCAUGGUCAUGGUCAUUCCAGCUGAUCUGUCUUGUUUGUAUUCCGUCCUGACUGUUAAUGAAAAAGUAAAAUGCCUGUGCUUCAAGCUUCA
Hemiscyllium ocellatum (epaulette shark) is the source of this 640-nucleotide long non-coding RNA. RefSeq lists it as uncharacterized. Lineage: Eukaryota; Metazoa; Chordata; Chondrichthyes; Orectolobiformes; Hemiscylliidae. The transcript is spliced from 2 exons. The record is from RefSeq and is a predicted model, not a curated record.